Molecule: transfer RNA, 87 nt
Filed under: Moraxella bovoculi
Lineage: Bacteria; Pseudomonadati; Pseudomonadota; Gammaproteobacteria; Moraxellales; Moraxellaceae
Description: tRNA-Leu
Rfam family: tRNA
About the family: Transfer RNA (tRNA) molecules are approximately 80 nucleotides in length. Their secondary structure includes four short double-helical elements and three loops (D, anti-codon, and T loops).
Source: RNAcentral
GCCCAGGUGGUGAAAUUGGUAGACACAAGGGAUUUAAAAUCCCUCGCUAGCAAUAGCGUGCCGGUUCGAGUCCGGCCCUGGGCACCA